This 129-nucleotide ribosomal RNA is filed under the name Streptococcus agalactiae CCUG 44077. RNAcentral's name for it is "partial 16S ribosomal RNA". It matches the Rfam family "Bacterial small subunit ribosomal RNA", at positions 1 to 123 of the family's 1533-position model. RNAcentral also lists the same sequence under 2 other names. Lineage: Bacteria; Bacillati; Bacillota; Bacilli; Lactobacillales; Streptococcaceae. The record is from RNAcentral.
UUUUAAUGAGAGUUUGAUCCUGGCUCAGGACGAACGCUGGCGGCGUGCCUAAUACAUGCAAGUAGAACGCUGAGGUUUGGUGUUUACACUAGACUGAUGAGUUGCGAACGGGUGAGUAACGCGUAGGUA